Molecule: small RNA, 78 nt
Filed under: Xanthomonas arboricola pv. juglandis
Lineage: Bacteria; Pseudomonadati; Pseudomonadota; Gammaproteobacteria; Lysobacterales; Lysobacteraceae
Description: sX12
Rfam family: Xanthomonas sRNA sX12
Source: RNAcentral
GAGGCCUGCACAUCCUCGUCGAAAGGUCCUGCCGCAGGUCGCGUAUGGGAGCCCCGGAGCACCGGGGCUCCUGCUUUU